GAUGAACGCUGGCGGCGUGCCUAACACAUGCAAGUCGAACGGAGUCCAGCCUUUAAGACCUUCGGGUCAAAGAGGGGAAGACUGAGUGGCGGACGGGUGAGUAACACGUGGGCAACCUGGCUCAUAGAGGGGGAUAACAGAGAGAAAUUUCUGCUAAUACCGCAUAAGCACACACUGCCGCAUGGCAGAGGGUGAAAAGAGAAUCGCUAUGAGAUGGACCCGCGUCUGAUUAGCCAGUUGGCAGGGUAAGAGCCUACCAAAGCGACGAUCAGUAGCCGAUCUGAGAGGAUGGACGGCCACAUUGGGACUGAGACACGGCCCAAACUCCUACGGGAGGCAGCAGUGGGGGAUAUUGCACAAUGGGGGGAACCCUGAUGCAGCGACGCCGCGUGAGUGAAGAAGUAUUUCGGUAUGUAAAGCUCUAUCAGCAGGGAAGAUAAUGACAGUACCUGAAUAAGAAGCCCCGGCUAACUACGUG
This 478-nucleotide ribosomal RNA is filed under the name uncultured bacterium. Its description in RNAcentral is "partial 16S ribosomal RNA". It matches the Rfam family "Bacterial small subunit ribosomal RNA", at positions 28 to 507 of the family's 1533-position model. The record is from RNAcentral.